Long non-coding RNA from Ictalurus punctatus (channel catfish), 990 nucleotides. RefSeq lists it as uncharacterized. NCBI's taxonomy places the organism in Eukaryota, Metazoa, Chordata, Actinopteri, Siluriformes, Ictaluridae. The transcript is spliced from 3 exons. The record is from RefSeq and is a predicted model, not a curated record.
AUAGCUUCAGUUACAGACCCUGGACUUUACAGUUCUGGCACAAUAUCACUUUAUCUGGCAGAAAUGUGUUGCAAGGGGUUGAAAUGAGGGCAGCUUCGAAGAAUGACACUGUGAUGAAUUUAUGCAUUUGAACUCUAUAUCAAACAUGGCCUCCGAGUCGGAGUGGGAACGAGACACUGCACAUGAAGCUCCACGAGGGGAGCGUGGAGAUCUGGGGGCCUUACAGGGACUGUCCUGAGGGGAGAAGACACGCGGCGUCCCUCCUUCAGAGUGACGGAGAGGUAUUUCCUGCUGCAUCUACAGAUGCUGUUUUUAAGAUGUAUUUUAACACUUUUGGGACAUCCUAUGCAUCCUCUUUGCAUUAAUGACAGUCCAAUUUAAUAUUUCUAUUUGAAAAAAUUUAUAACAGUGUUCAACAAAGGUACAGUCUCCUUUCAAUACCCUGACGAUGACACGGACAUCGUUUUGGCAAAAAUAUUCACUGCUUAUUGAAUUUCAACAGCAGUAGCAACAUUUCAUUUUAAUUUCCCUGUGAACAACAACAAUAAAAGGUUCUGCUAAUGCACCUAACUUAAUAAAGACGGGCUUAUUAUUCUUCAAUAAAUGUUGUUCAAUUUCCUCAAUUGUGUGUCUUCAUCUUGAAUGUUACAUGUUUGUGUUAAUAUUGCUGUUCAUUUCAAUUCUGCAAAAAGAAAUAGUUUAUGUAUAGUUUAUUUGUACAGAACUGACCACAUCAACACUCAUACAGUGAGUCCUCAUGUUGAGGAUGGAGACUAGAAAGUAGUAAAAUAACUGAGUUACAGAUCAAUAAUUUUUAUAUUAUUUAGUUAUGAGUACUAGCCAUGGAUCAAGCAAAGCAGCAAACACCAGAGUGUCCUAAUAUCUAUUAAAAAAUGUUUAUAUAACAGGAUAAUGUUUCAGCUCCUUUUUAUGUCUUCUUAUUUCCUUUUAAGUUUUGUUUCUUCCUUAAAAUAAAAGUCUUCAAUCCUG